This 65-nucleotide transfer RNA is filed under the name Arge similis. RNAcentral describes it as "tRNA-Phe". Lineage: Eukaryota; Metazoa; Arthropoda; Insecta; Hymenoptera; Argidae. The record is from RNAcentral.
AUUUAAAUAGCUUAAUAAAAGUUUUUCAUUGAAGCUGAAAAGUUAAUCUUUUAGAUUUUUAAAUA